GGAUGGGAUGGAGGCAACCCUGAUGGAGCAACACCGCGUGAAGGAUGAAGGCCCUCGGGUCGUAAACUUCUUUUAUAAGUGAGGAAUAUGACGGUAACUUAUGAAUAAGGGUCGGCUAACUACGUGCCAGCAGCCGCGGUCAUACGUAGGACCCAAGCGUUAUCCGGAGUGACUGGGCGUAAAGAGUUGCGUAGGCGGUCGUAUAAGCGAAUAGUGAAAUCUGGUGGCUCAACCAUCAACCCAUUGUUCG
Molecule: ribosomal RNA, 250 nt
Filed under: uncultured bacterium
Lineage: Bacteria
Description: partial 16S ribosomal RNA
Rfam family: Bacterial small subunit ribosomal RNA
Source: RNAcentral